RNAcentral lists this long non-coding RNA (393 nucleotides) under Bos taurus (domestic cattle). Its description in RNAcentral is "long non-coding RNA NONBTAT018684". The record is from RNAcentral. Lineage: Eukaryota; Metazoa; Chordata; Mammalia; Artiodactyla; Bovidae.
CUUUAUAACAGGUCUUUAAGUUUGUUGUAUACAGUGCUUUGAGUACUCUUUUUUUCUUUUAUUGUACUUAUCUUCAUCUUCACAAUAAAAAUGAAGUAGUUAGGGAAAGGAAAGCACUUUUUUGAGAAAUGGAGAACUGAAUUAUUGACAGCUGAGACCAAGCUCUAUUUCCUUAAUUAUUGCACAGUGCUAUAGAAAAAAAAAAAACAAACCCUGUAAAUUGAUCCUGGUAGUUUACUUGAAGAUUGGGGAUGUAACCUGAAUAUCCAGGCUUCCUCUUAAUUACUAUAGUAAUACCUUCAGGAUUGUUUUCAGUAAUAUAUCACCUUAAGCUUUUUUGCUUCUUGCUCUAGAAAUUUAUAAAUGGUUUUAACUAAUAAAUUGAUAUUGUUG